RNAcentral lists this ribosomal RNA (466 nucleotides) under uncultured bacterium. RNAcentral describes it as "partial 16S ribosomal RNA". It matches the Rfam family "Bacterial small subunit ribosomal RNA", at positions 28 to 507 of the family's 1533-position model. The record is from RNAcentral.
GAUGAACGCUGGCGGCGUGCUUAACACAUGCAAGUCGAACGAUGAAGCCCAGCUUGCUGGGCGGAUUAGUGGCGAACGGGUGAGUAACACGUGAGUAACCUGCCCUUGACUCUGGGAUAAGCCCGGGAAACUGGGUCUAAUACCGGAAAGGAGCGCCUGUCGCAUGACGGGUGCUGGAAAGAUCUUUCGGUCAUGGAUGGACUCGCGGCCUAUCAGCUUGUUGGUGAGGUAACGGCUCACCAAGGCGACGACGGGUAGCCGGCCUGAGAGGGUGACCGGCCACACUGGGACUGAGACACGGCCCAGACCCCUACGGGAGGCAGCAGUGGGGAAUAUUGCACAAUGGGCGAAAGCCUGAUGCAGCGACGCCGCGUGAGGGAUGACGGCCUUCGGGUUGUAAACCUCUUUCAGCAGGGAAGAAGCGAAAGUGACGGUACCUGCAGAAGAAGCACCGGCUAACUACGUG